UACAGAGACUGCAAGCGUUAUUCGGAUUCACUGGGCGUAAAGGGUGCGCAGGCGGUUGGGUGUGUCAGGUGUGAAAGCCCGGGGCUUAACCCCGGAAUUGCGCCUGAAACUACAUGAUUAGAGCAUUGGAGAGGGUAGCGGAAUUCACGGUGUAGCAGUGAAAUGCGUAGAUAUCGUGAGGAACACCAGAGGCGAAGGCGGCUACCUGGACAAUUGCUGACGCUCAGGCACGAAAGCGUGGGGAGCAAAAGGG
This 253-nucleotide ribosomal RNA is filed under the name uncultured bacterium. Its description in RNAcentral is "partial 16S ribosomal RNA". It matches the Rfam family "Bacterial small subunit ribosomal RNA", at positions 524 to 776 of the family's 1533-position model. The record is from RNAcentral.